UCGUACAACCGAGGCGUCAGGGCUGUCGCUGACCUUUCAAGGGUCGUGCACGCCCGAGCGUCCUCACAAUCCAUCUCACCCCUUUGUGCAUCACCGCGUGGGUCCGCCCCUUUUGUGGGGAGGGUUCGCGUUUUCACAUAAAACUCGAUACAGUCUAGAAUGUUCAUUUUUGCGGUAACACGCGAUCAAUA
This 191-nucleotide unclassified non-coding RNA is filed under the name uncultured Russula. RNAcentral's name for it is "sequence contains ITS1". Lineage: Eukaryota; Fungi; Basidiomycota; Agaricomycetes; Russulales; Russulaceae. The record is from RNAcentral.